UGGUCCAUCGGGGCCGCGGAUACCUGCUUGCUU
Molecule: non-coding RNA, 33 nt
Filed under: Dipodomys ordii (Ord's kangaroo rat)
Lineage: Eukaryota; Metazoa; Chordata; Mammalia; Rodentia; Heteromyidae
Description: XIST RNA A repeat
Rfam family: XIST RNA A repeat
Source: Rfam by way of RNAcentral